Molecule: ribosomal RNA, 279 nt
Filed under: uncultured bacterium
Lineage: Bacteria
Description: partial 16S ribosomal RNA
Rfam family: Bacterial small subunit ribosomal RNA
Source: RNAcentral
UGCCAGCAGCCGCGGUAAUACGGAGGGGGCUAGCGUUGUUCGGAAUUACUGGGCGUAAAGAGCACGUAGGCGGUUGGUAGAGUUAGGCGUGAAAGCCCUAGGCUUAACCUAGGAACUGCGUUUAAUACUGACCAACUAGAGGCCGGGAGAGGGUGGUGGAAUUCCCAGUGUAGAGGUGAAAUUCGUAGAUAUUGGGAGGAACACCAGUGGCGAAGGCGGCCACCUGGACCGGUUCUGACGCUGAGAUGCGAAAGCGUGGGGAGCAAACAGGAUUAGAUA